GGGUAGAUAUGCAAGCGGUCAACGCAAACGGUCUGUAAAACCGUCCUCUCUGAGUUCGCAGGUUCGAAUCCCGCUCUGCCCA
Molecule: transfer RNA, 82 nt
Filed under: Synechococcus phage S-H34
Lineage: Duplodnaviria; Heunggongvirae; Uroviricota; Caudoviricetes; Pantevenvirales; Kyanoviridae
Description: tRNA-Tyr
Rfam family: tRNA
About the family: Transfer RNA (tRNA) molecules are approximately 80 nucleotides in length. Their secondary structure includes four short double-helical elements and three loops (D, anti-codon, and T loops). Further hydrogen bonds mediate the characteristic L-shaped molecular structure. tRNAs have two regions of fundamental functional importance: the anti-codon, which is responsible for specific mRNA codon recognition, and the 3' end, to which the tRNAs corresponding amino acid is attached (by aminoacyl-tRNA synthetases). tRNAs cope with the degeneracy of the genetic code in two manners: having more than one tRNA (with a specific anti-codon) for a particular amino acid; and 'wobble' base-pairing, i.e. permitting non-standard base-pairing at the 3rd anti-codon position.
Source: RNAcentral